This 665-nucleotide ribosomal RNA is filed under the name uncultured Actinomycetes bacterium. RNAcentral's name for it is "bacterial SSU rRNA". It matches the Rfam family "Bacterial small subunit ribosomal RNA", at positions 59 to 721 of the family's 1533-position model. The record is from RNAcentral. Lineage: Bacteria; Bacillati; Actinomycetota; Actinomycetes.
AAGUCGAACGCUGAAGCUCAGCUUUUGUUGGGUGGAUGAGUGGCGAACGGGUGAGUAACACGUGAGUAACCUGCCCCCUUCUUUGGGAUAACGCCCGGAAACGGGUGCUAAUACUGGAUAUUCACUGAUCUUCGCAUGGGGGUUGGUGGAAAGGUUUUUCUGGUGGGGGAUGGGCUCGCGGCCUAUCAGCUUGUUGGUGGGGUGAUGGCCUACCAAGGCUUUGACGGGUAGCCGGCCUGAGAGGGUGACCGGUCACAUUGGGACUGAGAUACGGCCCAGACUCCUACGGGAGGCAGCAGUGGGGAAUAUUGCACAAUGGGCGGAAGCCUGAUGCAGCGACGCCGCGUGAGGGAUGGAGGCCUUCGGGUUGUAAACCUCUUUCGCUCAUGGUCAAGCCGCAACAGUGGUUGUGGUGAGGGUAGUGGGUAAAGAAGCGCCGGCUAACUACGUGCCAGCAGCCGCGGUAAUACGUAGGGCGCGAGCGUUGUCCGGAAUUAUUGGGCGUAAAGGGCUUGUAGGCGGUUGGUCGCGUCUGCCGUGAAAUCCUCUGGCUUAACUGGGGGCGUGCGGUGGGUACGGGCUGACUUGAGUGCGGUAGGGGAGACUGGAACUCCUGGUGUAGCGGUGGAAUGCGCAGAUAUCAGGAAGAACACCGGUGGCGAAGG